This 253-nucleotide ribosomal RNA is filed under the name uncultured bacterium. Its description in RNAcentral is "partial 16S ribosomal RNA". It matches the Rfam family "Bacterial small subunit ribosomal RNA", at positions 524 to 776 of the family's 1533-position model. The record is from RNAcentral.
UACGUAGGGUGCAAGCGUGAAUCGGAAUUACUGGGCGUAAAGCGUGCGCAGGCGGUUUUGUAAGUCAGAUGUGAAAUCCCCGGGCUUAACCUGGGAACUGCGUUUGAGACUACAAGGCUAGAGUGUGGCAGAGGGGGGUGGAAUUCCACGUGUAGCAGUGAAAUGCGUAGAGAUGUGGAGGAACACCGAUGGCGAAGGCAGCCCCCUGGGUUAACACUGACGCUCAGGCACGAAAGCGUGGGGAGCAAACAGG